Ostrea edulis (European flat oyster) is the source of this 2313-nucleotide long non-coding RNA. RefSeq lists it as uncharacterized. The transcript has 4 exons. The record is from RefSeq and is a predicted model, not a curated record. NCBI's taxonomy places the organism in Eukaryota, Metazoa, Mollusca, Bivalvia, Ostreida, Ostreidae.
GGUAGCAGCAGAAGUAGUGUCCAACAUGUCCAUAACAAAAGCGUACUGUGUUGGAAUAUCAAUAUUGGUACCCAGCAAUGCAAGGUGAUAUGUCCAUUAUACGUUGAUCAAUGCAAAAAUAUGUUUAAUGCAUUCCGGAAUAAAUUCCUCAAAGAUGCGACAAACGUUCAGAAAAAAGAAUGCCCAUCAUUUCUGUUGUGUCUUUGCCUCUCCAGGGUAGAGGAUGACGUUUCAAAUGCAAUAAAAGCAGCUGGUGAGCUCCCAAAGAAUCAUAUGGUUAUCGGGCUGCAGCACUGCGAGAAGACUGUCACACCAAGCAAAUGUCUCAAAGAGGGGCACCUAAAGAAUGGAACCUGCUUCGCAAAUGUUCUUUAUAGUGAACGGGAAAAGAAAUGUUACAACUGUGAAAGCAACGUCACUGCCCAAAAAAAAGUCCUUGCAUAUUUAAAUGACAAAGAAUUAUAUGGUCAUCAGACUGCAGUACCACGAGAUAAUCAGUCCGGGGGAAAUUGUGAAAGAGAAUCACUUAAAGAAAAUAGCUGUGUAUUACAGUGAAAAAAAUUGAAAAUAUCACUUCUGUCAAACAAAGAAUUAAUGCAUAUUUGAAUAAGCAAUAAUACUCAUUUUCAAAGAAUUAAACGUACACCUUCUGCUAGUAAUGUAUUCUUAUUGGAUUUAUGGAAUUGAUAACUGUUCGUUAUCUUCAUCUUUCAUUAUUUCUUUAUAAAAUGUACGACUUUUCAAGUCUUUCCAUCUGAUGACGACACCUUCUCCAUCGUCAGUUUCCUGUGUUAUUUUGAUUCAUGUAUUAAUUUUCCAUUAUCAUUUGCAUAUGGUAAUUAUCACCCUAACUGACUCAAUACGCAAGAUAUUCUUCUGAGUAUGACCAGAUGUGUUUUUAAAUUGAAUCAGGUUACUGAUAGUUAAGUUGACGUUACACGGAUCUCAACAGUGUAAUUUAUAGUCAGCAUUUCGAAAAUUGUAUAAUCGUUAUAAAGACCUAGUUUGCCGAUAUAGCCUACUUGCGAGUCAAAUGCUGUCUGGCGUGUUUCAUACAGGCUGUUUGGCCAUUGUUAGGUCGUUCUUGGCAAUCUGAUAUUUAGUACGGAUCGUUCUCUUUACCUGUUCAAGAUAUAUGAUUCACGGCAGGUGUGACCGGUCGACAGAGGAUAUUUAUUCCUCCUAGGUAUCUGAUGCCUCCUCUGGUAUAUCAAGGGGUUAGGUGUUUCCCAACUCUUUAUUGGCAUACUAUAAAACCUGGCCUGGCCCCAUUGGCCUGGCCUGGCCUCAAAAUUGGCCUGGCCCCAAUUUUGGCCUCUAAUUAUGCUCCAUCCCAAAUUUUGGCCUAGCCUCAAAAGUUGGCCUGGCCUCAAAUUUGGCCUCUAAAAAAAAUUUUGGCCUCAACCAAAAAAAUUUUUUCUUCAAAAUUUUGAUGGAUUUGAUUGAUUUAUUAUUGGUUUUAGUUUUUCAAAGUCAUAGCACAUAAAUGAUGUGUUUCUGUUGUUUUGUAAAUGUGUACUUUGAAAUAAUCAUGAACUACCACCAAUCUGAUUGAUUUUAUUGAUUAUCUAUUGAUCAGUGUAUUGAAUAAAUCAUUUUCUUUUCCCUUCAUAUUUGUAUGUACCAGUACACACCAAAACCGAUUGCACAACCAAUGAAACAAUUGGCAUAUUGAUUUUGUUUCAGAAUUAUGAUUAAUUUCAUUGAUUUAUUAUUGGUGUUAGUUUUUCAAAGUUGUAGAAAUAAAAUGAUAUAUGUACAUUAAAAUAAACAUGAAAUACUACCAAUCUGAUUGAUUUUAUUGAUUAUCAAUUGAUUAGUUUAUUGACAAAAUCAUUUGCUUAAGUAUACUGAUGAAAUGAUUGAUUUAUUGAUACAUUUUGUAUUCAAUAGAAUCCAAUUUGAUAUCAAUUUGCAUAUUAUGAAAGUGUUACAAUUGUGUUGUCAUUAUAAUGAAUUCGAUUUUAAGAGCACCGCACAUUCAGAACAGAGCAUUUUCAAUGUGCAGAUACCACGCAUUUAGUGUUACUUGUUUAAUUUCCAAUGCAUGAUAAAUGACAUUUUUUUUUAAACAAUCAAAAUAAACACAGUGAAGUGUUUGCUAGCAUAAUGAUAUUAGCCAGUGAUCUAAGGAUUUUAGAUUUGUAUUUUAGUCUUCAUUUAUCUAUACUUUACGUAGAAUGAACAAUGUUGCAUGAUUAAAACGGAUAUGAUGUAUUAUAAAUAUUUCUUUCUUGAUUUCAUAAUUAAGUUUCAAUAUUCAUUGCAAAAGUGACAAGUUCCCAUGCUCUGAAGGCCUGCCCUGUCAGGAUA